GACGAACGCUGGCGGCGUGCCUAAUACAUGCAAGUAGAACGCACAGUUUAUACCGUAGCUUGCUACACCAUAAACUGUGAGUUGCGAACGGGUGAGUAACGCGUAGGUAACCUGCCUGGUAGCGGGGGAUAACUAUUGGAAACGAUAGCUAAUACCGCAUAAUAUUGAUUAUUGCAUGAUAAUUGAUUGAAAGAUGCUAUUGCAUCACUACCAGAUGGACCUGCGUUGUAUUAGCUAGUAGGUGAGGUAACGGCUCACCUAGGCGACGAUACAUAGCCGACCUGAGAGGGUGAUCCGCCACACUGGGACUGAGACACGGCCCAGACUCCUACGGGAGGCAGCAGUAGGGAAUCUUCGGCAAUGGACGAAAGUCUGACCGAGCAACGCCGCGUGAGUGAAGAAGGUUUUCGGAUCGUAAAGCUCUGUUGUAAGAGAAGAACGGGUGUGAGAGUGGAAAGUUCACACUGUGACGGUAUCUUACCAGAAAGGGACGGCUAACUACGUG
Molecule: ribosomal RNA, 505 nt
Filed under: uncultured bacterium
Lineage: Bacteria
Description: partial 16S ribosomal RNA
Rfam family: Bacterial small subunit ribosomal RNA
Source: RNAcentral